Molecule: non-coding RNA, 262 nt
Organism: Pelobates cultripes (western spadefoot toad)
Lineage: Eukaryota; Metazoa; Chordata; Amphibia; Anura; Pelobatidae
Source: the annotation of a GenBank genome assembly
AGCGAAGUUUGUGUCAUCUGCAACCUAUACUGUGUCAGAUUCACCUGGAUCGUUGCCAACAACAAAAAAAGUUCUCCACCUUUUUCAUUUUUACUUCUCAGAAUUCUUUUCUGCAGGCUGCACAGAAUUAGAAAUGCAAACAGGGUUCUUUCAAACUUGCAGGUGUUAGUGAUCGUUCUUGGAAAUAUUUUAGAACGCAAAUGUUCAAAAGUUUUAGUUUUUUUUAAUUCUUCUAAGAAAUGACUAGAAUAUUGCAUUCGCC